UACGGAGGGUGCAAGCGUUAUCCGGAUUCACUGGGUUUAAAGGGUGCGUAGGCGGACAGGUAAGUCAGUGGUGAAAUCUCCGAGCUUAACUCGGAAACUGCCUUUGAUACUCUCUGUCUUGAAUAUGGUGGAGGUAAGCGGAAUAUGUCAUGUAGCGGUGAAAUGCUUAGAGAUGACAUAGAACACCUAUUGCGAAGGCAGCUUACUACGCCUAUAUUGACGCUGAGGCACGAAAACGUGGGGAUCAAACAGG
This 253-nucleotide ribosomal RNA is filed under the name uncultured bacterium. Its description in RNAcentral is "partial 16S ribosomal RNA". It matches the Rfam family "Bacterial small subunit ribosomal RNA", at positions 524 to 776 of the family's 1533-position model. The record is from RNAcentral.